AACAAAGUGCAUUGAUGGAUGAAUCAAUCCAGUAGCUUACUCUUUGGAUAUUCCUCCUUCGCUGUGAAUUCCUAAUGAUUCACACAUCACUCCUCACACAUUUGAUAUGUAAGAGCCCCUGUACUUUGAUCAAGAAUGAUCAGGAACAAUACAAGGUUCAAACAAUAAUUCACUGUAGAGUGUCGAGGGGUAGACUCAAAUAUUU
This is a non-coding RNA of Pelobates cultripes (western spadefoot toad), 205 nucleotides long. NCBI's taxonomy places the organism in Eukaryota, Metazoa, Chordata, Amphibia, Anura, Pelobatidae. The record is from the annotation of a GenBank genome assembly.